Molecule: ribosomal RNA, 464 nt
Filed under: uncultured bacterium
Lineage: Bacteria
Description: partial 16S ribosomal RNA
Rfam family: Bacterial small subunit ribosomal RNA
Source: RNAcentral
GACGAACGCUGGCGGCGUGCUUAACACAUGCAAGUCGAACGGAAAGGCCCCCUUGUGGGGUACUCGAGUGGCGAACGGGUGAGUAACACGUGAGUAACCUACCCUUUACUUUGGGAUAACUUCAGGAAACUGGGGCUAAUACCGGAUAGGAGCUCCUGCUGCAUGGUGGGGGUUGGAAAGUUUCGGCGGUUGGGGAUGGACUCGCGGCUUAUCAGCUUGUUGGUGGGGUAGUGGCUCACCAAGGCUUUGACGGGUAGCCGGCCUGAGAGGGUGACCGGCCACAUUGGGACUGAGAUACGGCCCAGACGCCUACGGGAGGCAGCAGUGGGGAAUAUUGCACAAUGGGCGGAAGCCUGAUGCAGCAACGCCGCGUGCGGGAUGACGGCCUUCGGGUUGUAAACCGCUUUCGCCUGUGACGAAGCGUGAGUGACGGUAAUGGGGAAAGAAGCACCGGCUAACUACGU